RNAcentral lists this ribosomal RNA (17 nucleotides) under Salomonia cantoniensis. Its description in RNAcentral is "partial 26S ribosomal RNA". Lineage: Eukaryota; Viridiplantae; Streptophyta; Magnoliopsida; Fabales; Polygalaceae. The record is from RNAcentral.
ACGCGACCCCAAGUCAG